Molecule: ribosomal RNA, 253 nt
Filed under: uncultured bacterium
Lineage: Bacteria
Description: partial 16S ribosomal RNA
Rfam family: Bacterial small subunit ribosomal RNA
Source: RNAcentral
UACGUAGGGGGCAAGCGUUAUCCGGAUUUACUGGGUGUAAAGGGAGCGUAGACGGUGCGCCAAGUCUGGAGUGAAAUGCCGCAGCUUAACUGCGGAACUGCUUUGGGAACUGGCGAACUAGAGUGCGGGAGGGGUAAGCGGAAUUCCUAGUGUAGCGGUGAAAUGCGUAGAUAUUAGGAGGAACACCGGUGGCGAAGGCGGCUUACUGGACCGUAACUGACGUUGAGGCUCGAAAGCGUGGGGAGCAAACAGG